AUCCAAAUGACCAGUCUUACAUAGGACGAAACGCGCAUCCUGGAU
Non-coding RNA from Trichobilharzia regenti, 45 nucleotides. Lineage: Eukaryota; Metazoa; Platyhelminthes; Trematoda; Strigeidida; Schistosomatidae. The record is from Rfam.